GCACUGGGAGCACAGCCCUAGCAACAAGGACUACCUCCUAGCAACGAGCAUGACACCCAGUGCAUGAAACACCUGACAACGAGCAUGACACCCAGUGCAUGAAACACCUGGCAACGAGCAUGACACCCAGUGCAUGAAACCCCUGACAACGAGAAGCUGAAAGUGACUUGUCCCCUGCUGGCUGCCAUCAGGAGCAACAUGGCAGAAUCUGAGGAUGUCAGGCAGAAAUUCUGUGUAUUUUCAGGACCUGCUCAAUAAAGAAGUUGGCUCAUUUUUAAUCUAAAGGAAUCUGGGAAAGAACAAUGAAAUAAGCCAUUUUGCUAAAUCAAUACACCAGCAAUCAAAUCACUGAAUGUACUGGUCAGUUGCAUUAAAAAUCAAUGGGAAAAGAAGUACAAAAUCAUGGUGUUUAUUAAAAACUGACACAAAUCAUCAACUUUUAAAUUCCUGGUAACCGGUCGAUAAUUGUUAUAAAAAGUUGACUGAGUCUAGUAACACGCCCUUCUGGUUUGAUAGGUUCUGUCUCUUUGCUAUUUCAUUUAAUUUUGUAUUUUUACGAUCUGCGCUAGCCAAAAGCAAGGUCAGGGUCUGAUCCUGGAAGUGAAAUCUUUAACCACUGCAAUCAACAGCGAAAGUUCAGGUUUCAGCAUUCACUGCUUAUCAGAGCAGCUAUCCUGACAUGAAUAAAUUGAUAAAUUGCCCCUAAACUGCAGCCUUUAUCAGCAAGAGUAGCGGCAGCAACAGAUGUACAGUAAGAUAUCUGGAAAAUCGUCACCCAUUAAUUAAAAUGCAACAAAUCUAGAUCGUUACUACAUAAUUGCUCAUCUUAUUAAUCGUUCUCUCAUUAGACUUGAUAACAGUAGACAAAGAAACAUUGUAAAAUCCUUAAAAAU
This is a long non-coding RNA of Pseudophryne corroboree (corroboree frog), 893 nucleotides long. RefSeq lists it as uncharacterized. The record is from RefSeq and is a predicted model, not a curated record. Lineage: Eukaryota; Metazoa; Chordata; Amphibia; Anura; Myobatrachidae. The transcript is spliced from 3 exons.